GCCCCCAUCGUCUAGCGGCCUAGGACGUGGCCCUCUCAAGGCCAAAACCGGGAUUCGAAUUCCCGUGGGGGCACCA
This 76-nucleotide transfer RNA is filed under the name Anaerolineaceae bacterium. Its description in RNAcentral is "tRNA-Glu". It matches the Rfam family "tRNA". From Rfam's summary of the family: Transfer RNA (tRNA) molecules are approximately 80 nucleotides in length. Their secondary structure includes four short double-helical elements and three loops (D, anti-codon, and T loops). Further hydrogen bonds mediate the characteristic L-shaped molecular structure. tRNAs have two regions of fundamental functional importance: the anti-codon, which is responsible for specific mRNA codon recognition, and the 3' end, to which the tRNAs corresponding amino acid is attached (by aminoacyl-tRNA synthetases). tRNAs cope with the degeneracy of the genetic code in two manners: having more than one tRNA (with a specific anti-codon) for a particular amino acid; and 'wobble' base-pairing, i.e. permitting non-standard base-pairing at the 3rd anti-codon position. RNAcentral also lists the same sequence under 1 other name. Lineage: Bacteria; Bacillati; Chloroflexota; Anaerolineae; Anaerolineales; Anaerolineaceae. The record is from RNAcentral.